RNAcentral lists this ribosomal RNA (240 nucleotides) under uncultured bacterium. RNAcentral describes it as "partial 16S ribosomal RNA". It matches the Rfam family "Bacterial small subunit ribosomal RNA", at positions 118 to 347 of the family's 1533-position model. The record is from RNAcentral.
CGGGUAAUCUGCCCUCGAUUCUGGGAUAGCCCGGGGAAACCCGGAUUAAUACCGGAUAGCCUCUCGAGCUUUCGAGCUCGUGAGAAAAGGUAGCUUCGGCCUCCGAUCGAGGAUGAGCCCGCGGCGGAUUAGCUUGUUGGUGGGGUAAUGGCCUACCAAGGCGACGAUCCGUAGCUGGUCUGAGAGGACGAUCAGCCACACGUGGGACUGAGGCACGGCCCAGACCUCCGUACGGGAGCA